AGAUAAACGGAGAUCUUACGGGUUUGGAACAACAUGAGGGUCCACAAGUCCCAAAGUGAUAAAGAAACACUACACUCAGGCACACAAAAGGAUAAGUCUGGAAGUCCACUUAUUACCUCUGCCUUAUAUAUACAUCUCUGUUUCUCUAUUUUGUGUUGUUGCAAUGACUGGCUUUAUUGAGCCUCCUGCUGCAUACCCCAGGUACAGCACAGUCACCCAACAUUCACUGAGAGAGGACUCCGAAAUAAUUGUCCAGGCCAGCGGGCAGUGUGUGGGAGAGCUCUGAUACUCAUCCUGCUGCUCAUCAUUCAUUCUCAUUCAUCCAAGGAUUAUUCCCACAGGGAAGGGAAAGACAUCAUCUUUCAACAGCACAUCUCGGAUCGAGUGCACCAGACCCAUCCACCAGGCUUAUCAUGAGCAGUGACAGACGCCCAGCAGUCGCCACAUCCCUCCAGCACAUGCCCUGACCUCUCUGACCUCUCAUUCCCAGCACUGCCAACAGUAGAAUGGAUCACCACGCACGCUUUUUGUCCAUUUAAUGAAAGUCAGAGGGACCAAAACAACACUGGACCACACUGACUUUCACUGUAUGAACAGAGAAAUUACAAAUACGUUCUUCAAAAUAUGUUCUUUUGUGUUUCACAGGAGAAAGAAAACUAUACAGGUUUGGAAUGAUGUGAGGAUGAGUAAAUGAUGAUAGAAAUCAUUGAAAAUGAUUUGUGUCCCAGAAGAAAACCUUUUCUAGGCCCAUCCUGCUUCUGCUGCGAACUGUCUGGUACAUCACUGCUAUAGGCUGAUACUGUUAUUGCAGUGCAACCAGACUGCCAUAGGCAGGUGUAUGAGUGAUAACAUAUAUUUGGCUCUGAUCCCUCGCAGCAAUGGAGAUCCUUGCUUUUCGGAGUAAAAAGUGGACUGUAAUCAUCUGCAGCCAGUCAUCUCAGGAGGUCGGCUGGGAUUUGAAGAAUGUGUCCCCCUCCUCCACAUCUCUGUCCUUUUCACCCUUCAACCCCAUCAUCCUCCCCAGCAAAAGGGCAUUUCUUCAGCUGGAGGAUCACGCUGCCACAGCUGAGCGGUGACGUGUGC
Molecule: long non-coding RNA, 1083 nt
Organism: Carassius auratus (goldfish)
Lineage: Eukaryota; Metazoa; Chordata; Actinopteri; Cypriniformes; Cyprinidae
Exons: 5
Source: RefSeq, a predicted model, not a curated record